This is a long non-coding RNA of Centropristis striata (black sea bass), 946 nucleotides long. RefSeq lists it as uncharacterized. The record is from RefSeq and is a predicted model, not a curated record. The transcript has 4 exons. Lineage: Eukaryota; Metazoa; Chordata; Actinopteri; Perciformes; Serranidae.
UCACUGGUUCCAGUAAUGUAAGGUGUUGGCAGGGCCAGCAGGUUCAUCAUUACUUUUAGACUGGUGGUGGUCUGAAAUAAAUGAGAUACAGAAUACAUUGAGUUUAAAAUAAGGCGUAUUAAGGGGCACUGCAUGCUUUUCACCACAGGGAGGCGCUGUUCACCAAACCAUCACUAGACGGUGCAAAGCACAUACAGAAGAUGUUAAAAGGACAAUCAUCGGCAGUCUCCUGUAGGUGGCGAUCUCCAUCUCCAGGUUCUGUUUGAUGCGCAGCAGCUGCUCGUAGUCGGUCUUGUUGCGCUGCAUGUCCAGACGCAGCUGAGACAGCUCGUCCUCCAGCUGAGUCAGCGUGGCCUGAAGACGCUCCAUCUCCACUGAGUACUUGUGGCUCGUCUCUCCCAGGUUUCCCUCCAACACACCCACCUGUGAACAGAACAUGAACCAUCAUCAGUGAUCAGUAGGUCGAGAAAUUCAGUAGGUGCCAUCAAAUCACCUUGAAAGAAAUUCUCUGCAAAGUGAGUUCUUAUAGACAAACACUGACCUCCUGCCCGAUGGCAUGUGCCUGGGCCAUCAUCCCGUCGAUGUCGUGCCCUUUUGGAGCCUUCUCCAGCAUCAGCUGCUUGAUCUUCACCUCCAGCUCGGCGUUGGACCUCUCCAGGGAACGCACCUUGUCCAGGUAGUUGGCCAGCCGGUCGUUCAGGCCCUGCAUGGCCUCUUUGUCGCUGGCGGCGAUGCCGAGGCCGUUGAACGAUAAACUGGAGCCCAGCAUGUUGAGGCCGUUGCCCAUCGAGACGGAGCGGGACAGGGACAGCGUGCCGAUGGAGAUGGGGGACUUGGAGCGGAUGCUGCGUCCGCUGUCCCUCACAGACAUGCUGGAGAAGGACGGCUGACGCACCGAGUAGCUGCGCAUGGAGACAGUGGAGGCCAUGGUGUCCACUGCAGGAGA